This 337-nucleotide unclassified non-coding RNA is filed under the name soil metagenome. Its description in RNAcentral is "partial contains 5.8S ribosomal RNA, internal transcribed spacer 2, and large subunit ribosomal RNA". The stretch from base 1 to 120 matches the Rfam family "5.8S ribosomal RNA", at positions 35 to 154 of the family's 154-position model. The record is from RNAcentral.
GAUGAAGAACGUAGCGAAAUGCGAUAAGUAGUGUGAAUUGCAGAAUUCAGUGAAUCAUCGAAUCUUUGAACGCACAUUGCGCCCCUUGGUAUUCCGAGGGGCAUGCCUGUUCGAGCGUCAUUACACCACUCAAGCUAUGCUUGGUAUUGGGCGUCGUCCUUAGUUGGGCGCGCCUUAAAGACCUCGGCGAGGCCACUCCGGCUUUAGGCGUAGUAGAAUUUAUUCGAACGUCUGUCAAAGGAGAGGAACUCUGCCGACUGAAACCUUUAUUUUUCUAGGUUGACCUCGGAUCAGGUAGGGAUACCCACUGAACUUAAGCAUAUCAAUAAGCGGAGGA